GUGCAGUACGCAGGUCCACGGAGCAGAGGUGAGGUGGCAUCAGCUCUGCCUGGAGGAGCUAAGAAAGGCUUCGCAGGAGGAGGCGUCUUUGAACUGGGUCCUGGAGGCUGAGGGGGAAUCCAGGCAAAAGAAAACUGCAGCUGCUGGGGCUCAAGAGAGUGAAAGCACAGAGCCAUUUCUGCAUGUUUCUGCCUCCCCCUGAACUUCCAGCCUCUAAUCCCCUAAAACUUUGGGUGCCAGAGAAGUUUCUGCUGCAUUGUGAAAUAGCUUGAUGUACC
Molecule: long non-coding RNA, 278 nt
Organism: Balaenoptera musculus (blue whale)
Lineage: Eukaryota; Metazoa; Chordata; Mammalia; Artiodactyla; Balaenopteridae
Exons: 3
Source: RefSeq, a predicted model, not a curated record